Molecule: ribosomal RNA, 809 nt
Filed under: Staphylococcus aureus
Lineage: Bacteria; Bacillati; Bacillota; Bacilli; Caryophanales; Staphylococcaceae
Description: partial 23S ribosomal RNA
Rfam family: Bacterial large subunit ribosomal RNA
Source: RNAcentral
CACACUGCCGAGAAAAGCCUCUAGAUAGAAAAUAGGUGCCCGUACCGCAAACCGACACAGGUAGUCAAGAUGAGAAUUCUAAGGUGAGCGAGCGAACUCUCGUUAAGGAACUCGGCAAAAUGACCCCGUAACUUCGGGAGAAGGGGUGCUCUUUAGGGUUAACGCCCAGAAGAGCCGCAGUGAAUAGGCCCAAGCGACUGUUUAUCAAAAACACAGGUCUCUGCUAAACCGUAAGGUGAUGUAUAGGGGCUGACGCCUGCCCGGUGCUGGAAGGUUAAGAGGAGUGGUUAGCUUCUGCGAAGCUACGAAUCGAAGCCCCAGUAAACGGCGGCCGUAACUAUAACGGUCCUAAGGUAGCGAAAUUCCUUGUCGGGUAAGUUCCGACCCGCACGAAAGGCGUAACGAUUUGGGCACUGUCUCAACGAGAGACUCGGUGAAAUCAUAGUACCUGUGAAGAUGCAGGUUACCCGCGACAGGACGGAAAGACCCCGUGGAGCUUUACUGUAGCCUGAUAUUGAAAUUCGGCACAGCUUGUACAGGAUAGGUAGGAGCCUUUGAAACGUGAGCGCUAGCUUACGUGGAGGCGCUGGUGGGAUACUACCCUAGCUGUGUUGGCUUUCUAACCCGCACCACUUAUCGUGGUGGGAGACAGUGUCAGGCGGGCAGUUUGACUGGGGCGGUCGCCUCCUAAAAGGUAACGGAGGCGCUCAAAGGUUCCCUCAGAAUGGUUGGAAAUCAUUCAUAGAGUGUAAAGGCAUAAGGGAGCUUGACUGCGAGACCUACAAGUCGAGCAGGGUCGAAAGACGGAC